This 331-nucleotide small RNA is filed under the name Histoplasma capsulatum. RNAcentral describes it as "hypothetical RNA". Lineage: Eukaryota; Fungi; Ascomycota; Eurotiomycetes; Onygenales; Ajellomycetaceae. RNAcentral also lists the same sequence under 1 other name. The record is from RNAcentral.
CAGCAACAUCAUCACAGCUGCCUUUUCUGAGGCUCUCUCUGAGGCUACUACCCUGCAUCAGCUCGGUUUUCCUCCUCUGUUUUAGCUGUGUAAUUGCAAAUAUGAACAUCCUCCUCCCACCUGUAACUUCCAUGAGUCUCAACAUAUUCCUUGUCACACUUUCUUAGAUAGACUUGAUAGUGCUUGAUGCAGUAAGAUAUCUCAGUUUUAACACUGGAAUCAACAUUGUUGUUGGUGAAAAAGUCACAGAGAGCGGCUUCUGUUUCAAACAUGGCGAAUUCUGUCUUUUCUAUAACUAGAAAUUAUGGCUCCACCUCUGUCAAGCUGGACU